CUCCCAACUGAAUACGUGUGCUCUUAGUUGACGGAUUGGUGAGCUGUGGAGAGGCGACGACCAUGGCAGACGUGAAGCUACAAUGGUAGCAGCGGCCGGCGGUGGCGACUUGCCCAAUGGUGGCGGCUCCUGCGUGAGGCGCUCCUCCACAACCCGUGUCGCCUCCUCGCUGCAGGUUAUACCUUCCUGGACCUCUACUGCUUUCAAAUUAGAUCAAUACAAGGUGAAGUUAUUUAGAUCUGGUAGCACCAGUGGAUUGCAUGUAUAAAUUAUAUGAUGCAUUAUCAUUUUGAGGAAGACGUACAAUAUUGACAUGAUGUUGCAAGGCGGCACAUUCUGUGUCCGAUGAGCAUGCUAUUAUGUGA
Molecule: long non-coding RNA, 365 nt
Organism: Aegilops tauschii subsp. strangulata
Lineage: Eukaryota; Viridiplantae; Streptophyta; Magnoliopsida; Poales; Poaceae
Source: RefSeq, a predicted model, not a curated record